Long non-coding RNA from Lycium ferocissimum, 491 nucleotides. RefSeq lists it as uncharacterized. The record is from RefSeq and is a predicted model, not a curated record. The transcript is spliced from 3 exons. Lineage: Eukaryota; Viridiplantae; Streptophyta; Magnoliopsida; Solanales; Solanaceae.
UUUUCUUUUUUUGAUAUUUUAAGAUUCGGCGCCAGUGGGUCCACAGGAACGACCCAUUCAGGAGCAUUCUCAUUAGCCUGCCGAGGCAGACGUGUCUUCUCAUGAGACUAUCGAGGCGCAUCAUCUCGUCCAGGAGACUACCUCAUAUUCACCACCACACCCAUCUCAGGAGCCUACUCAGGCGCCCGUUGACACACAGGUUCAUCCUUCGGCGCCUGAGGUGGCGACUCCCGACGAGGAAGAGGUCGAGUUUUCAGACCUAACUUAGCCUGAGGUUCUGAGCGUGCCAGCGGGACCAGAUCCCAAGAAGAAGCACGUUCUAAUCAAGGGCGCACGGGCCAGGAGAGGGGAGAUGAUCAUGACUUGGAGCGCCAGGUUAUUAAGAGGAAAAAGGGUGAUGGAGACGAUGGCGAGGGCGGUGGGGAUGGCAUGAGGCUUAGGCCUAGGGAUAGUCUCCGGCAUACUACAUGUGGGACUCAUCCUCGAUAGUG